GCGGGUGUAGCUCAGCUGGUAGAGCGUCAGAUUUCCAAUCUGAAUGUCGCCGGUUCGAACCCGGUCGCCCGCUCCA
This 76-nucleotide transfer RNA is filed under the name Gemmobacter caeni. RNAcentral's name for it is "tRNA-Gly". It matches the Rfam family "tRNA". From Rfam's summary of the family: Transfer RNA (tRNA) molecules are approximately 80 nucleotides in length. Their secondary structure includes four short double-helical elements and three loops (D, anti-codon, and T loops). Further hydrogen bonds mediate the characteristic L-shaped molecular structure. tRNAs have two regions of fundamental functional importance: the anti-codon, which is responsible for specific mRNA codon recognition, and the 3' end, to which the tRNAs corresponding amino acid is attached (by aminoacyl-tRNA synthetases). tRNAs cope with the degeneracy of the genetic code in two manners: having more than one tRNA (with a specific anti-codon) for a particular amino acid; and 'wobble' base-pairing, i.e. permitting non-standard base-pairing at the 3rd anti-codon position. Lineage: Bacteria; Pseudomonadati; Pseudomonadota; Alphaproteobacteria; Rhodobacterales; Paracoccaceae. The record is from RNAcentral.